Molecule: ribosomal RNA, 521 nt
Filed under: uncultured bacterium
Lineage: Bacteria
Description: partial 16S ribosomal RNA
Rfam family: Bacterial small subunit ribosomal RNA
Source: RNAcentral
AACAAACGCUGGCGGCGUGCAUAACACAUGCAAGUCUAACGGGAAAGUCGGCUUCGGCUGGCGAGUACCGUGGCGAACGGGUGAGUAACACGUGGGUAAUCUAACCUCGAGUUUGGGAUAACCCUGCGAAAGCGGGGCUAAUACCGAAUAAGACCACGCCGUGUUCGCACGGUGCAGUAAAAGGUGGCCUCUUCCUGAAAGCUAUCACUUGAGGAUGAGCCCGCGGCCUAUUAGCUAGUUGGUGGGGUAACGGCCUACCAAGGCAACGAUGGGUAGCCGGCCUGAGAGGGUGUACGGCCACACUGGCACUGAGAUACGGGCCAGACUCCUACGGGAGGCAGCAGUGGGGAAUUUUGCGCAAUGGGGGCAACCCUGACGCAGCAACGCCGCGUGAGUGAUGAAGGCCUUCGGGUCGUAAAGCUCUUUUAGUGGGGAAGAAGCCUCUUUUGGCUAAUAUCCAAGGGAGAUGACGGUACCCACAGAAAAAGUUCCGGCUAACUACGUGCCAGCAGCCGCAGUAA